GUAAGGAAUAUUGGUCAAUGGGCGGAAGCCUGAACCAGCCAUGCCGCGUGCAGGACGACGGCCCUACGGGUUGUAAACUGCUUUUGCCCGGGAAUAACCCCCCGCUCUUGAGCGGGGCUGAACGUACCGGGAGAAUAAGGAUCGGCUAACUCCGUGCCAGCAGCCGCGGUAAUACGGAGGAUCCGAGCGUUAUCCGGAUUUAUUGGGUUUAAAGGGUGCGUAGGCGGCCCGUUAAGUCAGGGGUGAAAUACGGCAGCUCAACUGUCGCAGUGCCCUUGAUACUGACGGGCUUGAAUACCGGUGAAGGCGGCGGAAUGAGACAAGUAGCGGUGAAAUGCAUAGAUAUGUCUCAGAACCCCGAUUGCGAAGGCAGCUGCCUAACCGGCGAUUGACGCUGAUGCACGAAAGCGUGGGGAUCGAACAGGAUUAGAAACCCCUGUAGUCC
RNAcentral lists this ribosomal RNA (445 nucleotides) under uncultured bacterium. Its description in RNAcentral is "partial 16S ribosomal RNA". It matches the Rfam family "Bacterial small subunit ribosomal RNA", at positions 354 to 796 of the family's 1533-position model. The record is from RNAcentral.